UCCCAGGUGGCUCAAUGGUAAAGAAUCUGCCUGACAAACAGGAGACUUGGGUUCGAUCCCUGGGUUGGGAG
This 71-nucleotide transfer RNA is filed under the name Bos taurus (domestic cattle). It matches the Rfam family "tRNA". Rfam says of the family: Transfer RNA (tRNA) molecules are approximately 80 nucleotides in length. Their secondary structure includes four short double-helical elements and three loops (D, anti-codon, and T loops). The record is from Rfam by way of RNAcentral. RNAcentral also lists the same sequence under 3 other names. Lineage: Eukaryota; Metazoa; Chordata; Mammalia; Artiodactyla; Bovidae.